AUCCAUCUGAAGAGUCCCAAUAUUAGGACGAAACACGCAUCUUGGAU
This 47-nucleotide non-coding RNA is filed under the name Schistosoma curassoni. Lineage: Eukaryota; Metazoa; Platyhelminthes; Trematoda; Strigeidida; Schistosomatidae. The record is from RNAcentral.